Long non-coding RNA from Calypte anna (Anna's hummingbird), 1291 nucleotides. RefSeq lists it as uncharacterized. The record is from RefSeq and is a predicted model, not a curated record. NCBI's taxonomy places the organism in Eukaryota, Metazoa, Chordata, Aves, Apodiformes, Trochilidae. The transcript has 3 exons.
GGACUGACAGAGCCCCGGGGCUGACCCGGCUGCUGCGUUCUGAGAGGGCCCCGGGGUCCUGAGAGGCCUCUGGUGGCCCUGUCAGUGACAGGAAAAUCCCUGUUCCCGCUUUUCCCAACAUUUGGUGUGUUUCUCACUCCCCUCCCCCGUGUUCCUGCACACCCAAAAUCCUGCUGCUGGCAGGUUGGGGGGGUGUUGUUCCUGGUUUUGCUCUGGAAAGCCAGGUCUGAGGGAUGUGUUUGCUCCUGGGCUGGUUGAGUUUCCUUCCCCUCUCCCUUAAACCUCUCUCCUCUCUUCAGAAGCCACAGCCACAGGUGACCCCAGGGGCUCCUCAGUGCUGGGAACACUCCCCAGCUGGGAUCUUACAGAUGGGAAGAAUUGGACUGGGAAAGCUCCAGUGGGAUCUUUACAAGACUUGACACCAAUGGGUUUCUCAAACACUACGUUUUGCAGGGUUUUGUCUUUUUUUUCUUUUUUUUUUUUUUCCCUUUAAGGAAACAAUCAGACCCCAAACCACCAAUGUGUGCACACAACCCCCACGUCCUCCUCAAGGUGCUUUGUCCUCAGCUCCCUGUAAGUCCUCUGAAGAACAUCACAGGGCUUUAUUUUUAAUUUUUUUUUAAUUCUCUACUAUUUAAAACCUUUCUUUUUGCUCCCCCCCCCCAAAAAAAAACCAACUCCCCUCUUUCCAGGGUAACUAAAAAGGGAGGUUAAAAAGACUCUGGGAGCACACAGCUCCACACCCUUGGAGUUUCUUUAAAUACACACUGCAAAAAUAUUUCUAACUCUUUCCCUUCUAUUGAUACUGUACAUACAAAGCUGUCAGAGGUUUUUUUUUGCUACAUUUCACUCACAGGUUUGCUGUUUUUUUGUCUCAUCCCAUUAAUUCUUCACCCUCCUUUCAGACCACGAGCCCAUCCCAACCUGGCACUUGGCUCCUUUUCCAGCUCUGUCUUCAAGAAAGGAUUGUGUGCUAGUAAGGCAAAAACUCAUGUGGCACAAACACAUCCUGGAUCCCUUUUUUUUUUUUAUAAUUAUGUGCAAAUAAUAAGCCAGCUCAGGCUGCUGAUUGUGAAAACUGCUUUUCUUAGGUGCUUCUUCCUCAGAAAACUCCGAGUGCACUCACUGGUACCUGAAGCUCCUGGCCCACAACCAGGAGAGCCCCAAAACUUCAGGAAUCAUUAGGAAACAGGGGAGCUUUUACAUUCAUUACAGACCCCAACAGUUCAAUGGUUCAAUGGCAAGUACAGACACAAAACCACACACUCACCAAAAAAAAAAAUAAAAUAAA